UGAGUGGCGGACGGGUGAGUAACGCGUGGGCAACCUGCCCUGUACAGGGGGACAACACUUAGAAAUAGGUGCUAAUACCGCAUAACGGGGGAGCCGCAUGGCACCCCCCUGAAAACUCCGGUGGUACAGGAUGGGCCCGCGUCUGAUUAGCUGGUUGGCAGGGUAACGGCCUACCAAGGCGACGAUCAGUAGCCGGCCUGAGAGGCGGACGGCCCACACUGGGACUGAGACACGGCCCAGACUCCUACGGGAGGCAGCAG
Molecule: ribosomal RNA, 260 nt
Filed under: uncultured bacterium
Lineage: Bacteria
Description: partial 16S ribosomal RNA
Rfam family: Bacterial small subunit ribosomal RNA
Source: RNAcentral